CCCGCCCCUGCGUACUGACUAUCUGAACCCAACUCUAUUGAUGUCAUGACGCAGGAUUGGAUU
RNAcentral lists this microRNA precursor (63 nucleotides) under Pristionchus pacificus. RNAcentral describes it as "microRNA ppc-mir-8285 precursor". Lineage: Eukaryota; Metazoa; Nematoda; Chromadorea; Rhabditida; Neodiplogasteridae. The record is from miRBase by way of RNAcentral.